GCUCUGAUAGCUCAAUUGGUUAGAGCACCCGUUUAGUAAGUGGGAGUUCUUGAGUUCAACUCUUAAUCAGAGCA
Non-coding RNA from Cryptomeria japonica (Japanese cedar), 74 nucleotides. NCBI's taxonomy places the organism in Eukaryota, Viridiplantae, Streptophyta, Pinopsida, Cupressales, Cupressaceae. The record is from the annotation of a RefSeq genome assembly.